RNAcentral lists this ribosomal RNA (225 nucleotides) under uncultured bacterium. Its description in RNAcentral is "partial 16S ribosomal RNA". It matches the Rfam family "Bacterial small subunit ribosomal RNA", at positions 524 to 748 of the family's 1533-position model. The record is from RNAcentral.
GACAGAGGCCUCAAGCGUUAGGCGGAAUCACUGGGCUUAAAGCGUGUGUAGGCGGGUCGUUAAGUACCUUGUGAAAUCCCACGGCUCACCCGUGGAACUGCUGGGUAUACUGGCGAUCUUGGGCCAACUAGGGGCAACUGGAACAAGCGGUGGAGCGGUGAAAUGCGUAGAUAUCGCUUGGAACGCCAAAGGUGAAAACAGGUUGCUGGGGUUGUGCCGACGCUG